Sphaerodactylus townsendi is the source of this 1024-nucleotide long non-coding RNA. RefSeq lists it as uncharacterized. The transcript is spliced from 3 exons. Lineage: Eukaryota; Metazoa; Chordata; Lepidosauria; Squamata; Sphaerodactylidae. The record is from RefSeq and is a predicted model, not a curated record.
UAGAGGGAAGGAGACAGCUGGCUUUGCUGACUGCUUGACGGUGCAGCAUGAAGGUGAAGAAGCUGUCAGAGGACUGCUUGCCCAAGGAAAAGGUUUAAAAUAUGAUAUGAAGCAAGGCAGCAAGAACAGAGAGCAACUGGUGAUCUGAUGGCUCUGUGUUUAGCAUGGUGAAUCACACUGCACAAGCUUGCCCUAGAAAUAUCUGCAGGAGUAUGAGAGGAGCAUUGCCAACCUAGAGCAAGGUUCUAAAUGUAGAUUAAGUCUUGGCACUCCAAUAUCAAAGUGAAGGUCAAUGGAAUUAGAAGGAUGUAACUCUGUUUAGGAAUGCACUAUAAAGACAUCUCUGUCUAGGCUUGGAGUAAGAUAGAAAUGGGUCAGGGAAAGAUGCAUUGAUUGAGAAUGGAUGAAGUUACUUUCUCAACACAUGCUCCAAAAAGGAAUGUUAAUAUGUGAAAAUCUAAGAAUGGGUUUGCCACCAAUGGCUGAACCUUAAGCAAAGAUGCAUCAUUCAAGAAUUGUUGAAAUUGCUUAAAACUUCUCCUAUGGAAAUACAAUGACUGAAUAGUAAAAGGCUUUGUGAGAAUGCAGCAUAAGGUAAAUCUACAUAAUUUGAAUUUAAUUGACUUUAUACCUCAUGAAUAUCUCUUAAAUUUGUCUCUGAAGUUAAGGCAAUGAUAGCCUCGUGUUUUCUCAGCUCUCUCCUGUAAACAGACUUUGACUCUUGCUGGGCAAAGAGACACAAGGGUCAUUUCAUGAUAUUUAUAUUUUUGAUGGAAUGAAAUAGUUUUAUGGACUUUUGCUCAUAAAAAAAGCUUCAAGUCACUGGAUACCAGCAUAAGCCUUGCAUCUAAUAUCUGAGCACAGUGUAAAAGCAAACUGCAACAAGACUUUGCAUCAUGUCUUAGCAUCUUCCUUUUUCAUUUUUUUCUUGUGACAUUCAUCCUGAAAAAAAGUUCUGGAGAGCUUGAAAGCUUGUACAUGCUUUGGUGUCAUUUGGUUGGUCCUAAUAAAAAGGUAUUCUGGG